RNAcentral lists this long non-coding RNA (341 nucleotides) under Capra hircus (goat). RNAcentral's name for it is "lncRNA (ENSCHIG00000002333.1)". Lineage: Eukaryota; Metazoa; Chordata; Mammalia; Artiodactyla; Bovidae. The record is from RNAcentral.
GUUCUCGCGAGAAGGAGCUCCCAAACAUGGCUGCCGCCAGUGUCUGUGUUUCUGGAAGGAGCUGCAGGCGACUCCCCCACCACCUCUCCAGGAGCCUCUCCAAGACCCGCAGUUGCUGUUGUGUUCCAGUGUUAUGCCCGACCCAAUGCAGCCUCAGUGACAACAGCAAGAAGAUGAAGCCAGGCCUGGGAGGGCAGAACUGAGAGAUGCAAGGAACCUGGCUUCCAGAGCAUGCUUCAAAAUCCCCGAACUCUCUCUGUAUCCUGACUGUUGUUGCUCAACAUAUAUUGAAUUGGGGCUUCUUUUACUUACAGCUAAGUUUAUACUAACUUAUGGCAUCC